AUGGCCGCAUCCCCGUCGACUACCUCGCGGAGAAGAUGGGGCUUCCCUUCGUGCCUACGUACCUGGAGCAGAGCAUGCGCAUCGGCAGCGGCGGUGUUGGCCUCAAGAGAAGGGAGCUGGCGGGGAGGCCUGGGACGUGGGGUGGGCUCUGCCUGCGGCUCGGCCAGGCCGCGCUUGCCGCCGCCUCCCUCGCCGUCAUGCUAUCUGAUUGCGUCGAUGGGAUUGCAAGCACUGUGGAGCUUGGGACUUGCAUGUCUUGAUGGAUACGUCCUUAAAGUCAAAAGAGAUCUCAACAAUGCUGUUUUAGUGAGCUUAUUUGUUGUCGGGGACUGGGUCACCCAUCCUCGAGGGGCAGAAGGAGGGACGCAUCUAGUUGGCCAUCAAGGACCUGCUCUGCUCCUCUUCCUUGCAGAAGUCAGCCUCCGGCCAUGGCGGAUCUGCAGACGCCGCUGGUGCAACCAAAGAGGAAGAAGGUUCUGGUGGACUACCUGCUACGGUUUGCUUCGGUGUUUCUGGAUUUACACUGAAUUGUACUAUCUACAUCGCAUUCAUAAAGGUUUGCAUUGUUUUGCUCUCUGUUUGGGUGUAGAGUGUGAAAAAGGAACAAAAUAA
This 612-nucleotide ribosomal RNA is filed under the name Triticum aestivum (bread wheat). RNAcentral describes it as "partial small subunit ribosomal RNA". Lineage: Eukaryota; Viridiplantae; Streptophyta; Magnoliopsida; Poales; Poaceae. The record is from RNAcentral.